Molecule: ribosomal RNA, 460 nt
Filed under: uncultured bacterium
Lineage: Bacteria
Description: partial 16S ribosomal RNA
Rfam family: Bacterial small subunit ribosomal RNA
Source: RNAcentral
CCUACGGGCGGCAGCAGUGAGGAAUAUUGGUCAAUGGACGAGAGUCUGAACCAGCCAAGUAGCGUGAAGGAUGACUGCCCUAUGGGUUGUAAACUUCUUUUAUAUGGGAAUAAAACGUUCCACGUGUGGGAUUUUGUAUGUACCAUAUGAAUAAGGAUCGGCUAACUCCGUGCCAGCAGCCGCGGUAAUACGGAGGAUCCGAGCGUUAUCCGGAUUUAUUGGGUUUAACGGGAGCGUAGGUGGAUUGUUAAGUCAGUUGUGAAAGUUUGCGGCUCAACCGUAAAAUUGCAGUUGAAACUGGCAGUCUUGAGUACAGUAGAGGUGGGCGGAAUUCGUGGUGUAGCGGUGAAAUGCUUAGAUAUCACGAAGAACUCCGAUUGCGAAGGCAGUUCACUGGACUGCAACUGACACUGAGGCUCGAAAGUGUGGGUAUCAAACAGGAUUAGAUACCCCAGUAGUC